UGGGGUAUAGCCAAGCGGUAAGGCACCGGUUUUUGGUAUCGGCACUCCCAGGUUCGAAUCCUGGUACCCCAG
Molecule: transfer RNA, 72 nt
Organism: Oceanospirillum linum
Lineage: Bacteria; Pseudomonadati; Pseudomonadota; Gammaproteobacteria; Oceanospirillales; Oceanospirillaceae
Rfam family: tRNA
About the family: Transfer RNA (tRNA) molecules are approximately 80 nucleotides in length. Their secondary structure includes four short double-helical elements and three loops (D, anti-codon, and T loops).
Source: Rfam